CCCAAAGGGGAUUGGCCUUAGUACGGCGAGUGAAGCGGCAAAAGCUCAAAUUUGAAAUCUGGCACCUUCGGUGUCCGAGUUGUAAUUUGAAGAAGGUAACUUUGGAGUUGGCUCUUGUCUAUGUUCCUUGGAACAGGACGUCACAGAGGGUGAGAAUCCCGUGCGAUGAGAUGCCCAAUUCUAUGUAAAGUGCUUUCGAAGAGUCGAGUUGUUUGGGAAUGCAGCUCUAAGUGGGUGGUAAAUUCCAUCUAAAGCUAAAUAUUGGCGAGAGACCGAUAGCGAACAAGUACAGUGAUGGAAAGAUGAAAAGAACUUUGAAAAGAGAGUGAAAAAGUACGUGAAAUUGUUGAAAGGGAAGGGCUUGAGAUCAGACUUGGUAUUUUGCGAUCCUUUCCUUCUUGGUUGGGUUCCUCGCAGCUUACUGGGCCAGCAUCGGUUUGGAUGGUAGGAUAAUGACUAAGGAAUGUGGCUCUACUUCGGUGGAGUGUUAUAGCCUUGGUUGAUACUGCCUGUCUAGACCGAGGACUGCGUCUUUUGACUAGGAUGUUGGCAUAAUGAUCUUAAGCCACCCGUCUGAAAAACGCGGGACAAAAAAAACCUUUAGGUUG
RNAcentral lists this ribosomal RNA (608 nucleotides) under Debaryomyces hansenii. Its description in RNAcentral is "LSU rRNA". It matches the Rfam family "Eukaryotic large subunit ribosomal RNA", at positions 64 to 664 of the family's 3401-position model. The record is from RNAcentral. Lineage: Eukaryota; Fungi; Ascomycota; Pichiomycetes; Serinales; Debaryomycetaceae.